GCUUCGGUAGUGUGGUGGAUCAGCACGGCAAACCGUAUAUCUGUGAGUGCGGGUUCGAGUCCCGCCUGAGAUU
RNAcentral lists this transfer RNA (73 nucleotides) under Dictyocaulus viviparus (bovine lungworm). It matches the Rfam family "tRNA". Rfam says of the family: Transfer RNA (tRNA) molecules are approximately 80 nucleotides in length. Lineage: Eukaryota; Metazoa; Nematoda; Chromadorea; Rhabditida; Metastrongylidae. The record is from Rfam by way of RNAcentral.